Molecule: long non-coding RNA, 401 nt
Filed under: Mytilus galloprovincialis (Mediterranean mussel)
Lineage: Eukaryota; Metazoa; Mollusca; Bivalvia; Mytilida; Mytilidae
Source: RNAcentral
UGUUUUUAUGGUCAUCUUGUCAAACGUUUUUAGUUUUGACUUUGAUAUUGGACUAUUAAAACUCCGUACUGAUCUUUAGAAAGAUUAUUAGUGAUAAAAUGUUUAGACAUGUUCAAGCCUUUCUCGACAGCUGUAAGCUAAGAAUCUCGAAUAUAUCUUGUAGCAUGCAUUCUAGAAGAGAUAUUGAUAAGACACCAAAGGGAUCAGCCAUGAAUCAUUCAGAUGGUCCAGAAUGGCAAUAACAUGUUCUUCGUCUCUUUUCAUUGCUGUUGGUUUUGUUUCCUCUUCUGAAUUCCAGCCCCUUUCCGCGUUACACGACUGAGGGAUUUUAGGAAAUGUCUAGUAAGGGUCCAUCUAACAAGCGCAUACUUUUGAUUUGUAAUGCCUACAGUGCCACCUGG